GAUGAACGCUGGCGGGUUGCCAAAAAAAGGCAAUUCAAGCGAAAAAAUAAGGAGCUGGCUCCUUUGAGUUUAGCGGCGAACGGGUAAGUAAAACGUGGGAAACCUACCUAUAAGACGGGAAUAACUCCGGGAAACCGGGGCAAAGGCCGGAAAAAAUUAGAAACCGAAUGUUUCUAAAGGGAAGGUUGGUUUGGCUAUCACUUUUGAAUGGACCCGCGCCGUAUUAGCUAGUUGGUAAGGUAACGGCUUACAAAGGCAACGAUACGUAGCCGACCUGAGAGGGUGAUCGGCCACACUGGAACUGAGACACGGUCCAGACUCCUACGGGAGGCAGCAGUAGGGAAUCUUCCGCAAUGGGCGAAAGCCUGACGGAGCAACGCCGCGUGAGUGAUGAAGGUCUUCGGAUCGUAAAACUCUGUUAUUAGGGAAGAACAAAUGUGUAAGUAACUGUGCACGUCUUGACGGUACCUAAUCAGAAAGCCACGGCUAACUACGUG
This 497-nucleotide ribosomal RNA is filed under the name uncultured bacterium. Its description in RNAcentral is "partial 16S ribosomal RNA". It matches the Rfam family "Bacterial small subunit ribosomal RNA", at positions 28 to 507 of the family's 1533-position model. The record is from RNAcentral.